RNAcentral lists this long non-coding RNA (3285 nucleotides) under Malus domestica (apple). RNAcentral's name for it is "long non-coding RNA (MDOM_LNC008805)". Lineage: Eukaryota; Viridiplantae; Streptophyta; Magnoliopsida; Rosales; Rosaceae. The record is from RNAcentral.
UCAAAAUAUAUUUAUGAGUAUUUAUGAGAAAAGGAGAAGGCAAUGGGGGUCGUUAAUAAUUAGUUAGUUGAAAUAAUAGGUGGGAAGGAUGUAGGGGAAUAAAUUUAGGGGUGUGCUAUAAAUGUAGAUAGCAAGAAGGAAAUUUUCCAAGUUUUGUUUUUGUCCCCUUCAAUAUUAUUAUUUUUAUCACAACAUUUCUUUGGUGUACUAAAUUAAACAACAUUCAAAGUGAAACAUGAUAUGUGCCCUAAACACGAAAGAAAUCAUUUUUUUGGAACUUUUGUGUAUCUGUUAAGUCUUACGUUAAUCAAUGACAUAACAUAAUUUUUUUAAUAGGCCAAUGUCAAGUAAUGUUAUCAAUUAAAUGAAUAAUAGAUCUAUUUAUGGUCAAUUAGCUUCAAGCCCUUUGACCAUGUUCGGGUGAAAAAAUUUCAAGUUCAAGGAACUGAUGCCAAACUAAUAAAGAUGAUCACAUAAUAUUAGACAAUAGGAUUAGAAGUGCACAAUAUAUGAGUAUUAAAAUGGCAUGAAAGAGACAAUUAUGAAUAACUCCUUCUAAAUAACAUAAGGAUUUGUAAUCACAUUUAUGGUGCAAUUUAAUCUCUCCUAAAUAACAUUUCUUGAUUCAUUACUUACUAACUCGAGCUCAGUUCCUUAGAACUUGGAAAUCCGUCACUCAAGGCCUGGUAAUUUUGUUUGUUAUGGUCAAUAUAUAUCCUACUAAUAGAUCCGAAUGAACCAUUUCUCUCAACCGAUGACUCACUGAGUCACAGCACUACUUCAAACCUCAAAGUGCAGAUGGUCUGCAAAACCUACCUAGACAGAGAGCUUUUAUUACUUAUUUCCCAUUGACGUAAUGCAACUCGGGGAAGUUGCACCGGUAAAAAUCAAUAGUCAUUACAUACGCACCUUAGUUAAGUCACAUCCAUCACCCAAAAAGACCAAGAUAGCUGAAUAACUCGACCUUAUAAUUAGUGUUAAUCCUCACCCAUUGGUUAACAAUAUGCAAUGAUAUAUGGGUCACAUCUUCUUAUCCUUUUGGAUAAAUUAGUUAGUUGCCGGAUUUCUUUGUAUAUACUUAGCAAUAUGUGUCUGCAAAGUUUAAGCAUGCUUUCUUGCUUUCGAUUAUUGUGACGACCCGUCUCUAAAUUUCUAUGUAAUUUUUUUCCCCGAGUAUGUAAAUUGACAUUUAUGUCAUUGUGGCCAAAGUGACAUGGAUGUGGACGUGGUUAUUCAACUUUAAUUUAUUUUUCUUGUUAUUGUAAUUAAUUAGUACUCAUUGUUACGAUUGUGUGAGCAUGAAUUAGAUCCGAAUCGGAUUUGUAAUGAAAAAGUUAUGCACAGUUAAAGUAUGUUAACAACGGAUAGAGUUGUACACGUGUGUGUUAAUUUAUCAGAAAUCAUUUGAAAUUUAAAAUUUAAAAUUAAAUAUAAAUAGUACCUAACAAAAAUUAAUCGCAUUAUGUAUGAUUAACGGCCAUGAUCACGAGAUCCCCGGAUGGCCGGGAAAAGGAUCCGGCCGUAACGUAAAGCCACGGAAAAACAGCAACCUUUUGACAAGCCCUCGGAGAUUCAGGCACAUAAUAUGCAUGACUACUUUCAACUAACUAGUUAAGGCAGAAAAGUACGAGACGGAAAGUACAACUAAUUUUUCUUUAAAAAAAAAAGGUACAACUAAUUAAGGAGCGACUUUGAUUAAGGUUUUUUUUAGCAGAGUGAGGCGAAUGUAUAGGGAAGCAAAAGAUUAUGACUAGCUAUAACUUCACCAACCAAAAAAAAUUAAAACAAAAGUAAAGUAAAUAAAUGCAAUGAAAGAAUUUGAGGAAAGCCUUUUGAGCUACUUAACCUAGGUUUUGAGCUAACUUCACCGAUCCCCUUUCUUUUUAACAAUUAACAAUUAACAAUUUAACCAUUAAUGUUAUCGUUAAAAAAACAAAAAGAAAAAAGAGAGAUCUUUUUUUUUUUUAAAUACAAAUGAAUUCAUUAAAAUUAAAAUUAAAAAUCACAUGCAAAUGGACAGGGAGAGGGGUAUAGUAAAGCAACACGACGAAGUAGAUGAUGAGAGCCCUUGACAUUGAGAGUUGAGAGACAAAUUAAUAAUCCUGACAACCGGAAUUUAAUAUGCAUCCGAUCCAACCAAACAUGACGCUACAAACAAAACAAAAUUUGGCAGACAAACAAAACCCUUGGCAUUUGACCACCCAAACCCAUCAUUUUAAAUACAGAUUACUUAACAUAACCAUUUAUAAAUACACACACACAUAUAUAUAUAUAUAUGUAUGUAUAUAUCGUUAUGAAGCGAAAUGCACGCCUAAACAUAGCUAGCCAUGCACAAGACUGGCUAAACUUGCAUGCUUUUGUAUGUGUGUGUGUGUGUGUGUGAGAGAGAGAGAGAGAGAGAGAGAGAUGAAUUACUUACAGAGAGAACUGGGAGAGGGACGAGUAUGGAAGUGAGAGACGCCUUCACGAGCGGUGUAGCUUCAAAAUAUAUUUAUGAGUAUUUAUGAGAAAAGGAGAAGGCAAUGGGGGUCGUUAAUAAUUAGUUAGUUGAAAUAAUAGGUGGGAAGGAUGCAGGUGAAUAAAUUUAGGGGUGUGCUAUAAAUGUGGAUAGCACGAAGGAAAUUUUCCAUGUUUUGUUUUUCCCCUUCAAUAUUAUUAUUUUGAUCACAACAUUUCUUUGGUGUACUAAAUUAAACAACAUUCAAAGUGAAACAGGCUAUGUGCCCUAAACACGAAAGAAAUCAUUUUUUUGCGACUUUUGUGUAUUUGUUAAGUCUUACGUUAAUCAAUGACAUGACAUAAUUUUAUUAAUAGGCCAAUGUCAAGUAAUGUUAUCAAUUAAAUGAAUAAUAGAUCUAUUUAUGGUCAAUUAGCUUCAAGCCCUUUGACCAUGUUUGGAUGAAAAAAUUUCAAGUUCAAGGAACUGCCAAACUAAUAAAGACGAUCACAUAAUAUUAGACAAUAGGAUUAGAAGUGCACAAUAUAUGAGUAUUAAAAUGGCAUGAAAGAGACAAUUAUGAAUAACUCCUAAAUAACAUAAGGAUUUGUAAUCACAUUUAUGGUGCAAUUUAAUCUCUCCUAAAUAACAUUUCUUGAUUCAUUACUUACUAACUCGAGCUCAGUUCCUUAGAACUUGGAAAUCCGUCACUCAAGGCCUGGUAAUUUUGUUUGUUAUGGUCAAUAUAUAUCCUACUAACAGAUCCGAAUGAACCAUUUCUCUCAAGUCUCAACCAAUGACUCACUGAGUCACAGUACUACUUCAAACUUCAAAGUGCAUAUGGUCUG